RNA transcript from Candoia aspera, 4091 nucleotides. It is a transcript of the gene named cyclin and CBS domain divalent metal cation transport mediator 2, with no coding region annotated. Lineage: Eukaryota; Metazoa; Chordata; Lepidosauria; Squamata; Candoiidae. The transcript has 3 exons. The record is from RefSeq and is a predicted model, not a curated record.
GCGCGGGUCUCUUCCCCCCUCCCCGUCCCCUUCGGGGUAGGGGUUGAAGCAGCUCCUGGCCCAGGCCCGGCAGUCGCUUGUCAGCCGCCGAGGAGUUCGGUACUUGCUAUCUUCGUUAAGCGGUAGCGCAAUGAGGUCGCUCAGUUUGCUGUGGCCGUGCUACCGCUGACCCCCUUCAACUGGAAUAUGGCCGCGCCGCUACCCGCGGUUGCUCCCAGGCUUAUGGCAGGGCCGGGGGGAGGCGGAGAAAGGGAGUCGCGGAUGCUACCGCGGUCGCCGCUGCUGCUGCCGCUGCUGCUAGGAUUUCUCCUCAGCCGGUGCCUGGGAGAACAGCCUGCUCGCGCCGCCGCCGCCGCCGCCGCGUUGCCCGGGGCGUCCGAUUCUGAGGAAACGGUGAUAAUAGGGUUACGGCUGGAGGACACGGACGAUGUAUCUUUCAUGGAAAAGGGAGUGCUGCGGGUGAGCGAGAGGACUCAUGUCAAACUGCGGGUCUACGGGCAGAAUAUCAAUAACGAGACCUGGUCCCGCAUCGCAUUCACUGAGCAUGAACGGUGGAGGGAUGGGGAAGGCAGGCGGACCCCAGCUGAACAAGAAGAUGGUCCGGUCCCCGUUGGUUCUAUGUCAUCGGCCCCGCAGCGUUGCGGCAUCCGGACAUCGGAUAUCAUUAUCCUUCCGCGUAUCACCCUCAACCGCCGUACCUCGGGUAUUAUCGAGAUUGAUAUCAAGCCAUUGCGCAAAACGGAAAAGAGCAAGUCGUACUACCUGUGUACUUCUAUAUCUUCCCCAGCUAUCCUAGGAGGGGCAGGGAGUGUGGCUGGGGGCCCUGGUGGUGGAGGUAGCAUUAUUGGUCCUGAUGGAGGGCCCUGGACUGAAACAACCUGGAUCUAUCACGAUGGUGAGGACACCAAAAUGAUUGUAGGCGAGGAGAAGAAAUUCUUGUUACCCUUCUGGCUUCAGGUGAUCUUCAUCUCCCUCCUGUUGUGUCUUUCUGGCAUGUUCAGUGGUCUCAACCUGGGACUUAUGGCUCUUGAUCCUAUGGAGUUGCGUAUUGUGCAGAAUUGUGGGACAGAAAAAGAAAAAAACUAUGCUAAGCGCAUUGAGCCUGUGCGCCGCCAGGGCAAUUAUUUGCUCUGUUCCUUGCUCUUGGGUAAUGUAUUGGUUAAUACUACCCUUACCAUCCUGCUUGAUGACAUUGCGGGUUCUGGACUGGUGGCAGUGGUAGUAUCCACCAUUGGUAUUGUCAUUUUUGGUGAGAUUGUGCCACAGGCUAUUUGUUCUCGGCAUGGUCUGGCUGUUGGUGCCAACACCAUCUUCCUCACCAAGUUCUUUAUGAUGAUGACCUUUCCAGCCUCUUACCCAGUCAGCAAGCUGCUGGACUGCGUUUUAGGGCAAGAGAUUGGUACUGUCUAUAACCGUGAGAAGCUACUUGAAAUGUUAAGAGUCACUGAUCCCUACAAUGAUUUGGUCAAAGAAGAAUUGAAUAUAAUUCAAGGAGCGCUGGAAUUGCGCACCAAAACUGUGGAGGAUGUAAUGACUCCUCUCCGGGAUUGCUUCAUGAUUACUGCUGAGGCUGUACUUGAUUUCAACACUAUGUCUGAAAUUAUGGAGAGUGGUUAUACACGUAUCCCUGUUUUUGAAGGGGACCGCUCUAAUAUUGUGGACCUUCUUUUUGUCAAAGACUUAGCUUUUGUGGAUCCUGAUGAUUGUACUCCACUCAAGACCAUCACACGUUUUUAUAACCACCCCCUGCAUUUUGUCUUCAAUGACACCAAGCUUGAUGCCAUGCUUGAGGAAUUCAAAAAAGUGAUGUGGCUGGCUUGAGGAUCACAACUCAUCACCAGAGGAAUAUGAGGAAGUGAAGGAAAAGGUAGAGGAGAGAAGGAUUGUACAUGAUCUGCUGUCUGCCAGAGAUGUGGUUCAUGAAACUAAGCCAAAGAUGUUCAUCUGCCUGAAUUACCUGAACUAGAAUUAAAUCAUGGAACUUAAGUACCAGUCUGCUAAACAGUACAGGUGUAAUGCAUUUCCAGAAAUGGAUGUUGAAGUUCACUGCCAGGGAAAUAGGGUUCUCUUAAAUGAGUUAGUGAUCUACAGAGAUUUCCAACAUAUGACAUCAUGUGUGAAGCAGCUGGUUCUGAUCAUUCACUGUUCUCCUCCAUGGUUCUUGAAGAUUAAGACUACAUCUUGAAAGAAGUCCAAGAACAAUAGGAAAAAAAAUCUCUUUUGGUACACUGAGUAAUCACUAAUCAAGUAUUGCUACAAUGUGUUACAGAAGUAACUUUAAUUUUGGGAAAGUAGACACUGAUUUCUGUCUUGACCUUUUUUCAAUAUAAUGCCAUUAAUAUAGUGCUAUCACUGUUUGUCUCGGUGUUGUUUGUCAUUUGUAACAUAGAUGAUAAUUUUACCCCUUUCAUUCUGUGAAAUAGUAUAACACAGUGGUUGUUUCUGGCACAGAUUCAACAUUUACCCAAACAUCAUAGUGGAACUAGAGGCAGAAAAAGUUACUUUUGACAGGUAUUCAAAAUCUAAGGAACUCUGAAGUGAAUUUGCUCUUCUGUUCUUAUAGUGAUGUACAGGCCUUAUCAUCCAUUGACAAAUUAAUUAUCAAUGCUCAUCUAAUGCUUAGAAUUUCAUGAAGAUUUCCUCAGUUAUUGAUAUGAUCUGUGGUGCAAAUUACUUUCCCUUUCUGCAGUGUUUUUGUAGUUAAGAUGAUUGGUUAAUAAAUUGAAGGGAUGGCAGUACCAAAAGUAGCAGAGAGGCAAAGGUGCUAUAGGAUAGCAGGCUUCAAAAUGUCACUGGAUGGAGAACUUACUAGGGUACAUCUAUCCAUCACAUUUCUGAUCAUUAUAUAUUGAUGUCAAAAGUAAAUGUAUUUGCUUAAAAAGGCAUAAUGCAUAUUCUGUUGAUUUUCUAAUAAGGUAAACAUGUUAUUUAACAUUAGGUCCUUUGUUUCAUUUGCUUUGGCUGUUUUUUUUUUAUAAGUUUGAUGGAUGAAAGCAACAAGUUACAUUAUUUUUUGCAUAAUUGGCAGCAUUUGCUGUCUGCACUUGAAAAAAUAUUUCUUAAAACCUUUGGGGCCAUAGACAUUUAAUGAAUACAUCCUCCAUAUAGCACCAAUUUGAGAUUUGUAUCUGUUUUGUUUCAUCCUCUUAAUCAGAGAUACAGAUUUUUUUUCUUGCCUAGCAGCUAAAGGUCGGUUCACCUGUGGUAAAAGGCAAAUCUGGGAGAAAUAUAAAACUGCACAUUGUUGGCAUCUUUUUUUCUACAUAACAAUGCGGUCUAUGUAGAAACUUCAUAUUGUUUGGAGUGGCAAUUAGGAUUAGACGAUUGAGAAAUGUUGGCAAUGAACCCAGGAGGCAGCACUCUUAGAACUCCAAAGAUCCUGAAUUAGGUCAGCAGUCUAUUACAGUCCCUAAAGAUUUUGUUUGGUAAGAGCCAAUGAGUUUCAUUCCUGAUCCUAAGUUUGUCCAUGCCUUUUAUUUAUGGAAUUGUACACAUCUGGGUGAAUAACUGGGGUGGCAGAUACUUUCACACCAAACUAGUUCUCCAAAUACUAAAUAUUAGAUUUUUAAAUAUACCUGUUUCCAGGUAAUUUUGGAAUAAAGGUUGGUUGAUAAAGAGAUAGUCAUUCAUCAACCUACUUUCUGAACCAGAUGUUACUGUUGCUAUAUUAAGUAGUGCACCAUUUUUGUUAUUGUUAAAUCUGCAUAAAAUAUCUCUUAUCACUAUAAAAAUCCAUUUUUAUAAUGUAGUUGAAACAGUAUAUGUAUUUGUGCUAUGUCUGAAAUUUCCAACAUUCUAGUAAAACGCCAUUCUAAUAAGCUCUUUUGUCUGUGAACAAGGUUUAUGAUAUUAGUAGUCUCCUUUUAGACAAGAGAUCAUGUUUUGGGCAUGUACAUCAUUGGAAAGCUUACAAAUAAAAGAAAAAAAACAAUAUAAAACAGAAAAGCUUGUGUCUUUGACUUCCAGUGGGCUACUAGUGGUAUCCAUGUGUUGACUUUUUUGGUUUCAUAUUUCUCCUGAUUUCUUUCUUUGCUAUUCUCUUAAGACAUUGAUCUCAGAAUAUAAACUGGCACCAAUCUGGCAGGUCUACU